CCUACGGGGGGCAGCAGUGGGGAAUAUUGGACAAUGGGCGAAAGCCUGAUCCAGCCAUGCCGCGUGUGUGAAGAAGGCCUUCGGGUUGUAAAGCACUUUCAGUGGGGAAGAAAGCCUUGGGGCUAAUACCCUCGAGGAAGGACAUCACCCACAGAAGAAGCACCGGCUAACUCCGUGCCAGCAGCCGCGGUAAUACGGAGGGUGCGAGCGUUAAUCGGAAUUACUGGGCGUAAAGCGCGCGUAGGCGGUCUGAUAAGCCGGUUGUGAAAGCCCCGGGCUCAACCUGGGAACGGCAUCCGGAACGGUCAGGCUAGAGUGCAGGAGAGGAAGGUAGAAUUCCCGGUGUAGCGGUGAAAUGCGUAGAGAUCGGGAGGAAUACCAGUGGCGAAGGCGGCCUUCUGGACUGACACUGACGCGGAGGUGCGAAAGCGUGGGUAGCAAACAGGAUUAGAUACCCCUGUAGUC
RNAcentral lists this ribosomal RNA (465 nucleotides) under Vreelandella stevensii. RNAcentral's name for it is "partial 16S ribosomal RNA". It matches the Rfam family "Bacterial small subunit ribosomal RNA", at positions 338 to 795 of the family's 1533-position model. Lineage: Bacteria; Pseudomonadati; Pseudomonadota; Gammaproteobacteria; Oceanospirillales; Halomonadaceae. The record is from RNAcentral.